RNAcentral lists this long non-coding RNA (1549 nucleotides) under Mus musculus (house mouse). Its description in RNAcentral is "RIKEN cDNA 2610307P16 gene". The record is from RNAcentral. Lineage: Eukaryota; Metazoa; Chordata; Mammalia; Rodentia; Muridae.
GGACUUGGAACAAAAGGGGAAACUCUGAUGAACUCCUUCUCCAGCUCCCUGGACGCCCGAGUAUCUCUUUCUCGCAACUUUGUCAACGCGACUUUCUCCGCUGUCAGGCUGCGCAAAAGUAUCCUAGCGCCUCGCAGGCUGCAACAAUGGAAACAAUGUCCCUUCAAAGUGCGACGAAGUGGAGGGAGAAGGUGUCAUACCAGCGACUCCAAGAGUCAUGUCACCCACUUAGCAGGAGUACUUCUACUGAAAUGCCUUCGAAUUUCUCUUACUGGAUAUAUACCUACCAGCCGCUAGCAUGAAGAUGCCAGGACCGCUGCAAGUUAGCACUGGACAAAGUAGCAUCAACUUCUUCAUUUAGAGUUUCUUCAGUUAAAUUGCUGGGAUUUUCGACAAGGCUUUCCUUAUGUGGAUUAUUGGAGUGUGAUGCCCGAGAAUUCUCUACUUGUAGAAGCACGCCCACGGGACUGCAGAAGCCUUCACACCCACCCAGCACGCUCAGAUCAUCCAGUAACCAACCCAGGAAGUUCUUGUAAGCAUGCAUUUCUUAGUCAACACUGAAUGCCUUUAGACCGAGGUCAACCUUUUCAGCUGGUACCGUGGUUUACACUGCUGAUGGGAAUGAGUGAUGGCCAUCCAGUGACCAGCUGGAUCUGACUGCCUUACAAGACGCAUGUGUAUGAUUAAGAGAGAGACAUUCGUGACUCCCAGAUGUACCUCCUUCCUGUCCCACAGUGUUCCUGAAGGGAGUGAGUUAUGGGGUAACUUAUAACACAGCAGGCUCUUCCUCAAGAUAGCUCUUGUCAAAACAGGAAGACGAAACUCGGGUUUCCAUGAGGAGACCACAGCUUGGGAUCCUGUCUGGAUGUACAAGCAGAAGCAUCUUCAUACUUUUCCAUUUCUAACCAUCAUGCCUCACCCCACCCUCCCAAGGCGACAUCUGCAGAGAGGUGGAACCAUCUAGGGAGGCCUGCCACUGUUUGCUGAGCUCCGGGUGAGGAUGAAGACACUUUGACAUGGCCAGCUUCAGACUCGGGAUCUGUCGGUGUUAGCAGCCGAAGUUUUCAGGAUGUGUUCCUGAGUCUCGUGAGUAGCACAUGGCAGUUGUUGUCACCUUGGGCUGAGCCGUGAAGAUUCUCACCCUCCCUUGUUGGGGAUGAACUCCGGGAUUCUAAGGAGAGGUCAGCAGGUGUUUCACAGACUGUUCCUGUUGGAGGAUUUGUCUGAUACUCUUCUCCUGAUUAGUCUGGGCUCUACAUUUCCCCAAGGGUGAAACUUGGAAGCCCUCUCCAGGAUGCAGCAGGUAGCUGAGGAGAAAACGAAGACUGACCAGCCCAGAGCUCAGAGCUUCCUCCCAUGCUCAGGAUUUACCACCAAUGCCAUUACAUCGGCCUCUUCUUGUAUGCCUCUGGAAACCACAUGUGUCCUCUGUUUGUAAUGGUUUGGCUAUGGUUGCUGGCCCCUCUUGGACAUUGUUUUCAGAACUUAAAGAAACAUUGCUUUAAAGAUUUAUUAGAACAUAUUUAAAAUAAAACCAUCUUCUCAUUUA